This 930-nucleotide ribosomal RNA is filed under the name uncultured archaeon. Its description in RNAcentral is "bacterial SSU rRNA". It matches the Rfam family "Archaeal small subunit ribosomal RNA", at positions 1 to 922 of the family's 1478-position model. The record is from RNAcentral.
UUUCCGGUUGAUCCUGCCGGAAGUCACUGCUAUUGGGAUCGGCUAAGCCAUGCAAGCGGAGGGCGCGGUCGAAAGAUCGUGGCCCCGCACACUGCUCAGUAACACGUAGUCAACCUACCCUUGGGACGGGGACAACCUCGGGAAACUGAGGCUAAUCCCCAAUAGGUGAGGGACGCUGGAAUGCAUCCUCGUCCAAAGCUCCGGCGCCCAGGGAUGGGACUGCGGUCUAUCAGGCUGUUGGUGGUGUAACGGACCACCAAACCUACGACGGGUACGGGCGAUGGGAGUCGGAGCCCGGAGAUGGGGACUGAGACAAGGCCCCAGGCCCUACGGGGCGCAGCAGGCGCGAAAACUCCGCAAUGCGCGCAAGCGUGACGGGGGAAUCCCAAGUGCCGUUGGUCUUAUGAUCGACGGUUUUUAGGAAGUCUAAGAAGCUUCCAGAAUAAGGGCUGGGCAAGACUGGUGCCAGCCGCCGCGGUAACACCAGCAGCCCAAGUGGUGACCACGAUUAUUGGGCCUGAAGCGCUCGUAGCCGGAUCAGCAAGUCCCUUGUGAAAUCGGGCCGCCUAACGGUUCGGUGUGCAAGGGAUACUGUUGGUCUUGAGGCCGGGAGAGGUCGGAGGUACUCCUGGGGUAGCGGUGAAAUGCUCUAAUCCUAGGGGGACCACCAGUGGCGAAGGCGACCGACCAGAACGGACCUGACGGUGAGGGGCGAAGGCUAGGGGAGCGAACGGGAUUAGAUACCCCGGUAGUCCUAGCUGUAAAGCAUGCGGGCCAGGUGUCUAGCGCUCCUUGAGGGCGCUAGGUGCCAGAGGGAAGCCGUUAAGCCCGCCGCCUGGGAAGUACGGCCGCAAGGCUGAAACUUAAAGAAAUUGGCGGGGGAGCACCACAAGAGGUGGGACCUGCGGUUCAAUUGGAUUCAACGCCGGA